Molecule: small nucleolar RNA, 107 nt
Organism: Medicago truncatula (barrel medic)
Lineage: Eukaryota; Viridiplantae; Streptophyta; Magnoliopsida; Fabales; Fabaceae
Rfam family: Plant small nucleolar RNA R71
About the family: R71 is a member of the C/D box family of snoRNAs containing the C (UGAUGA) and D (CUGA) box motifs. Multiple nearly identical copies of this snoRNA have been identified in Arabidopsis, and it is thought to function as a 2'-O-ribose methylation guide for 18S ribosomal RNA.
Source: Rfam
AAACCAUGGUGGGGACAUAGUCUAAACAUUUCCUUGAAAUGCUCCCACGCAUUAUAAAGAGACUCCACAUCUUUUUGAUUAAACCGUGUGAUUUGGUCUCUUAGUUU